CGUUUGAUGAAUUCAUAGUCAAACGAGGCGAACCGGGGGAACUGAAACAUCUCAGUACCCCGAGGAAAAGAAAUCAACCGAGAUUCCCCCAGUAGCGGCGAGCGAACGGGGAGCAGCCCAGAGUCAACAUCAAUAUUUACCGCAGGAGAAGGGUCUGGAAAGGCCAGCAAUAAAGGGUGAUAGCCCCGUAUCUGAAACGGUAAGUAUUGUGAACUCGAAGAGUAGGGCGGGACACGUGUUAUCCUGUCUGAAUAUGGGGGGACCAUCCUCCAAGGCUAAAUACUCCUGACUGACCGAUAGUGAACCAGUACCGUGAGGGAAAGGCGAAAAGAACCCCGGCGAGGGGAGUGAAAUAGAACCUGAAACCGUGUACGUACAAGCAGUGGGAGCACCCGAAAGGGUGUGACUGCGUACCUUUUGUAUAAUGGGUCAGCGACUUAUAUUCUGUAGCAAGGUUAACCGCAUAGGGGAGCCGUAGGGAAACCGAGUCUUAACUGGGCGUUAAGUUGCAGGGUAUAGACCCGAAACCCGGUGAUCUAGCCAUGGGCAGGUUGAAGGUUGGGUAACACUAACUGGAGGACC
Molecule: ribosomal RNA, 582 nt
Filed under: Arsenophonus endosymbiont of Ericerus pela
Lineage: Bacteria; Pseudomonadati; Pseudomonadota; Gammaproteobacteria; Enterobacterales; Morganellaceae
Description: bacterial LSU rRNA
Rfam family: Bacterial large subunit ribosomal RNA
Source: RNAcentral